Non-coding RNA from Lolium perenne, 2976 nucleotides. Lineage: Eukaryota; Viridiplantae; Streptophyta; Magnoliopsida; Poales; Poaceae. The record is from RefSeq and is a predicted model, not a curated record.
GCAUAUGCGGGCCGGCCCGCAGAUGCCACACAUCGCAGCGAGCCAGGAACGCCCGAGCCUUCUUCCUCCUUCGGCUCCCCGGCUCCCCCACUGGAGCGCCGCCACGGCCACCAUGGCCGCCAUUCCUCCUCCGGCUCCGGGGGCCUCUCACGCUCCUUCGACUCCUUUACCACCUCCAGGGCCCCCCAUCUUGGCGAAUUCCUUGGCCCCUUCCUCGAUUCUCUCUCUCCAGUCAACAUCCCCCAAGGCCAGCGACGGGAAGCCGCGGGCUAGGCCAGCAACGGCGCCAAGCAAACUAGGUUUAGAUGGCGGAGAACCACCUCCUGGAACGGACGGCGUGGGGAGGGUGGGCAGCCAAGAGAUCGAUGGCGGCGAACCAGAGCGUGGCAAGGACGGCGGCGGUGAUGCCCAGAUGCGUAUAGACGUGGGCGGCGGGAAGCGGCCGCAGAGCAAGAAGCCUAACGGGAGCUCCCUCGUCCCCACCAUCAUCAAGGUAAGGGUUGGGACCCUAGUUCCCUUCGCUCAAGGCAAAUCUGGGCCAUCGAAUGCCUCACUGCUAAGCAUUCCCAUCUUUGAGGGUUCCAAUGUCGUUGGGAGGAGUAAUUUGGUGGUUGUCGACAAGAGGGUCAGCCGCAAGCAUUUGAGUCUGCGCGCCUUGGCGGAUGGCUCCGUCGAAGUUGUCGUGGAGGGGCCAAAUCCCAUUGUUGUCCGGUCAGACGGGCAGGCGAGAAAGGUUUGUGCUCAGGGUAGAGCCAAGAUUAUCUAUGAUGAUGUCCUGGAGCUUAUUCCCGGCGAUUAUCUUAUGAAGUAUGUGGCUAUGAGUGAUGAGCGUAAAAGCUCCGCUUCAGUGGAUUCAAAUGACUUAAAGAAGGGAAAGAGGCAUAGCGAGGAAGAUAGCGUAGUUGCAAAGAGGAAUCGGCAAGUCAUGGAAGAUGAGGCUUUGGCAAGAACAUUGCAGGAAAGUUUUGCAGAAGAGGGUACAUCUGUUCCUGGCAUGGCUUGUGGUCAAGCAUUAAGUUCACUUGAUAGUGCUGGUUCUUCUGAGAGAAAUAACAAGAGAACGCAUUCUGCCGGUCCUUUGAAAGAUGUACUCCCAUUGACUUUUCGACUCAUGCGUGUCCAAGGUCUUCCUUCAUGGACUAACAGUUCCGCAGUUACCAUUCAGGAUGUCAUUCAGGGUGAUGUGCUUUUUGCUGUACUCUCAAAUUAUAUGGUCGACAUUGAUUGGUUGCUUACCGCAUGUCCAAGUCUAAGGAAAGUUCCACAUGUCCUAGUUCUCCAUGGAGAGGAUGGUGCUUCAUUGGAGCAUUUGAAGAAAUCAAAGCCUGCUAAUUGGAUCCUUCACAAGCCUCCGCUCCCAAUUUCAUUUGGAACACAUCAUUCAAAGGCCAUGCUGCUUGUAUAUCCUCAAGGGAUUCGUGUUGUUGUUCACACUGCAAAUUUGAUACAUGUUGACUGGAAUAACAAAAGUCAGGGACUAUGGACGCAAGAUUUUCCCUGGAAAGAUGCAAAUGAUAUGAAUACAAAUAUUUCUUUUGAGAAUGACCUGGUUGAUUAUCUCAGGGCACUUAAGUGGCCUGAGUUCAGGUUAAAUCUCCCAGUUGCUGGUGAUGUCAACAUCAAUGCAGCAUUCUUUAGGAAAUUUGAUUAUAGUAGCUCAACGGUCAGGUUGAUCGGGUCUGUUCCUGGUUAUCACGUGGGCCCCAAUAUGAAAAGGUGGGGCCAUAUGAAGCUUAGGAGUGUUCUUGAAGAGUGUGUAUUUGAAAAGCAAUUUUGUAAGUCACCACUUAUUUAUCAGUUUUCUUCCUUGGGUUCACUUGAUGAGAAAUGGAUGAGUGAGUUUGCAUGCUCGUUAUCAGCUGGUAAAGCAGAGGAUGGAUCACCGUUGGGUAUCGGUAAACCACUGAUUGUCUGGCCUACAGUGGAGGAUGUUAGGUGUUCAAUAGAGGGGUAUGCAGCUGGUAGUUGCAUUCCAAGUCCUCAGAAGAAUGUUGAGAAAGAUUUCUUGAGAAAAUAUUGGUCCAGGUGGAAAGCAGACCAUGUAGGCCGUUGGUAUGCUCUCUUUUCCUGCAGCUAAAGCUAUCAUGUUGGUCCAAUGAAAUUUUAGUGUUUACGAAUCCAGUAGGAUGUCAUGUACCGGUUAUUGACCCAUUCUGCAAAUUAUCUGCUCCAUACUAUAGAUUCAUUUAGUUUUCAGAACAGCGCAGUAGGUUAUGUAGCUAAUCCCUUAUGUGUUGUAUACUUGCCAUAUGUCACAAGAAGAUUUGCUUGGGCUGUUUAGUUUUCUCCCAUGGUAGCCAUGAUUGGAAGAUUUGUAACUUGGCACUUGGCAAUAUAGCACUUGAAGAGAAAGCUUUCUAUUCCAUAUUUCCAAGUAAUGGAGUAUUAUGAGUAAUAGAGCUAAAGGAUGGAGAUGAGUUUCUUUUUAUCCUGCAAUAUUCUGUCAUUACACCUAAAGCAAGAAGAUUGAUCUACAUGGCAUGCCUGUGGCUUUGUGGUGUAGAGACUUACUAGUUUCAUUGCAUCUGGAGUGCUUGGCAAAAUAAGGUCUUAAAAAUCCUCUACCAGGUGGAUUUUGCUUUAGUUGCAAUGAAUGAUCCCAUUAUAACCUGAAAAAUACAACUUCUUUGUAGUAUUAUUAGUAUGUAAUAUAAUCAUUAUGACUAUAUAUUCUGGACUACUCAGUUCAAGUAAACAUCUUUAGUUGAUAUCGACAUCGACUGCAAAAGAUUGGCAUCCUUACUUUCUGAAUCUUUCAGUUUUUCUUCUUUUGAACCAAGUUCUUUUACUACUGACUGAAACUGAUAUUCUCAUCUUGAUUUUUGUAUCAGCCGUGCUAUGCCUCACAUAAAAACUUUCACUCGUUACAAUGGUCAAAAUAUUGCAUGGUUUCUGCUUACCUCAUCAAAUUUAAGCAAAGCUGCUUGGGGUGCACUGCAGAAGAACAACACGCAGCUGAUGAUACGGUCAUAUGAG